CUCGGCGCGCGGCCCGACCGCCUGCUUCCGGGGCGGGCGAGUGGGCGCCUGGUGCCGGCGGCCGCUGCGACAGCGCCCCCGGGAAGCGCAGGAGGAAGGAGAGAAGAGGCGGAGGUGGCCGCAGGCUGAGUCGCGGCCGGGAUGUCCGGGCAGCAGCCGCCGCCACCGCCGCCGCCGCCGCAGCAGCAGCAGCUGCCGCCGCCACCGCCUGCGGCCGUGGCCCCGGUGUCCGGAGUCGUCCUGCCGGCUCCCGCUACCGUCAGCGCCGGCUCCUCUCCUGCCGGCUCUCCUGGCGGAGGCGCGGGCAGCGGCUUGGGGGUCGCCGCGGCCGCCCUGCUCCUUCACCCGCCGCCGCCGCCGCCACCGCCCCCGGCUACCGUGGCCCCACCGCCGCCACCGCCGCCGCCGCCCCCCGCCUCAGCGGCCGCCCCCGCCAGCGUGCCUCCCGCGCCCCCAGGCCUCGCCGCGGGCCCCGGCCCGGGCCUGGCGGCGGGCAGCAGCGCCGCGGCCCCCUUCCCGCACGGGGACUCGGCCCUGAACGAGCAGGAGAAGGAGCUGCAGCGGCGGCUGAAGCGCCUCUACCCGGCCGUGGACGAGCAGGAGACGCCGCUGCCGCGGUCCUGGAGCCCGAAGGACAAGUUCAGCUACAUCGGCCUCUCGCAGAACAACCUGCGGGUGCACUACAAAGGUCAUGGCAAAACCCCAAAAGAUGCAGCAUCAGUUCGUGCCACACAUCCAAUACCAGCAGCCUGUGGGAUAUAUUAUUUUGAAGUAAAAAUUGUCAGUAAGGGAAGAGAUGGUUACAUGGGAAUUGGUCUUUCUGCUCAAGGUGUGAACAUGAAUAGACUACCAGGUUGGGAUAAACAUUCAUAUGGUUACCAUGGGGAUGAUGGACAUUCAUUUUGUUCUUCUGGAACGGGACAACCUUACGGACCAACUUUUACAACUGGUGAUGUCAUUGGCUGUUGUGUUAAUCUUAUCAACAAUACCUGCUUCUACACCAAGAAUGGACAUAGUUUAGGUAUUGCUUUCACUGACCUACCGCCAAAUUUGUAUCCUACUGUGGGGCUUCAGACACCAGGAGAAGUAGUUGAUGCCAAUUUUGGGCAACAUCCAUUUGUGUUUGAUAUCGAAGACUACAUGCGAGAGUGGAGAACCAAAAUACAGGCACAGAUAGACCGGUUUCCCAUUGGAGAACGAGAAGGGGAAUGGCAGACUAUGAUACAAAAAAUGGUUUCAUCUUACUUAGUCCACCAUGGGUACUGUGCCACAGCAGAGGCCUUUGCCAGAUCUACAGACCAGACCGUACUAGAAGAAUUAGCUUCCAUUAAGAAUAGACAAAGAAUUCAGAAAUUGGUGUUAGCAGGAAGAAUGGGAGAAGCCAUUGAAACAACACAACAGUUAUAUCCAAGUUUACUUGAAAGAAAUCCUAAUCUCCUUUUCACAUUAAAAGUGCGUCAAUUUAUAGAAAUGGUGAAUGGUACAGAUAGUGAAGUACGAUGUUUGGGAGGCCGAAGUCCAAAAUCUCAAGACAGUUAUCCUGUUAGUCCUCGACCUUUUAGUAGUCCAAGUAUGAGCCCCAGCCAUGGAAUAAAUAUCCAUAAUUUAGCAUCAGGCAAAGGAAGUACUGCACAUUUUUCUGGUUUUGAAAGUUGUAGUAAUGGUGUAAUAUCAAAUAAAGCACAUCAAUCGUACUGCCAUAGUAAACACCAGUCAUCCAAUCUGAAUGUUCCAGAACUGAACAGUAUAAAUAUGUCAAGAUCACAGCAAGUUAACUUCACCAGUAAUGAUGUAGACAUGGAAACAGAUCACUACUCCAAUGGAGUUGGAGAAACUUCAUCCAAUGGUUUCCUAAAUGGUAGCUCUAAACAUGACCACGAAAUGGAAGAUUGUGACACCGAAAUGGAAGUAGACUCGAGUCAGUUACGACGCCAGUUGUGUGGGGGAAGUCAGGCGGCCAUAGAGAGAAUGAUCCACUUUGGAAGAGAGCUGCAAGCGAUGAGUGAACAACUGAGGAGAGAAUGUGGCAAGAACACAGCAAAUAAAAAAAUGCUGAAGUUGAGGAAAUUUAGAAAGUGCUUCUCUUUUCUUCACUUCAGGUCCCAGGUGAUUGUAAGUUUUUUCUUUUUAAUCUUUAACAUUUUUGAAUUUGCCUAAACUUCUGAGUUAUAUAUACAUAUAUAGAGAGAGUGCUUUGAUUAAGGUUGAAGGUAAGAUUUACCUGAAUUGCUUUAUCAUAAGGAUGCAUGCAUUUUGCUUCACCUGCUGUGGAGUGGCAGGCAUUAUUGCAGACAAAUUUUAAGACUAGACCACCGGGCUGAAAAUGGGCAGGGCCCUCCCGUAGCAUUUGGUGGCCCAUUGUUUCUCUUUACCUUUUUUCUUCUAUUUUUCUGUCUUCCUUCUCCUCUUUUCCUUUUGUCUUUUUUGUUCCCCACCUGCCUAGGUCUGCCAGUGGCUCCCAUGAGAAUUCCCUGAAUUGGCUUGUUCAGCAGGUAUUUAUUAAACUUCUGCAGUGUGGCAAGGCUGUAGGCACUGUGGGAUCAGACAUGAAUGAGGAGCCCCAGCCUGCAAGGAGCUUUAAAUCUAGUGACUGAAGCAGAAGUAGAACCAUUUAGAUUCACUUUAUUUAGAAACUGCUCCAGAUUUUAAGUCAAGUAUGAGUAGAGUUUGAGGAUCCUACCUAAAUGGUGUCACAUUUCCCUCAGAAAUUAUUCCCACUGAGGUAAUGUUUUUUUUCUUUAAAAUAAAAAGUAACCCACAAUGCCAUGAUACUUCACAGGUAUUUUCAGUUUUGUGCCAUAACUUCCAUGUGCAUAUAUUUUACCUAGUUAGUAAAUUGUAGUUACACUAUUUUGUAUUCUUUUCUUAUUUAUUGUCAUAAAAUUUAUUUUCUCCCAGUUUCUAUGCAUUAUACACAAUUAUUUUUAAAUGGCUGCAUAUAGAUUCAUAUAUGUUGCUGUAUCAAUUUAUUUCUGCUUUUUCUAUUGGAUUAUUUCUUUCCUUUAUUAAAUGGUUCAGUGAUCACCUUUAUACAUGUGCUUUUAUGUUUCUUCCUUAAAAUCAUUCCAUUGGGAUAAAGUCCUAGUAAUAAAAUGUUGGGUCAAAGGAUAUGAAUGUUACUGUGGCUCUUACUUAAUACUGCUAUACCGCUUUCCACAAACCUCCCGAUUUACUAGUGGUAAUGAAGAAAUGUACCAGUGUCACUACCUUAAUCCUACCUCAGUGAGUUUAACAUAAUAUCCUAAAAUUCCUUUUUUCUAUUUCUUUGGCUACUAUAAAUGUUGCUUUACUGAUUUCUUUCAUUCUUCUUUAUAAAGAAAGAUAUAGGUCUAAAGGUUCAUGACUAGGAGCUUGAUAGUGUCAACCUUACUCCCUGCCCUCCCCCUCCAUGGUUUUAUUUGUUUUCUUGCUUUCUGCUUCACACUACUUCCAACUGAUGUUUCAUGUAUCAUAAUGUUGCCAGUGUGGUCCUUCUACAGUCAUCUUUAAUCCAUAUCAUUCCUUUAUUUAAAACCCCACUGCCAUAUUGGAAAGAUUUCAAGCAUGGGCAUUUUACGAUCUAAGCCCUUAUCCAAGGUUCCAGUGAUGCUUUCCUUUUUUCUCUCGGCUUCAGCUUGCACAUACCUUGAACCUGCCUAUUAUGUUACUAGUAAUAGACAGUAUAUUAUUUGUUUAUACCUCUGCCUGCCCUACCAGAUUAUGUGAGUUCCCUGAAGCUGGGACUAGGAUCUGCUCCUCAGUGUCUAGCACCUGUGCCCAGGAGACAUGGGUUGAGUUGUUUUGAAAAUAGAGAUUUUUUUCUCUCUUAAUAUAUAGAUUGAUAAUUUAAAAAGAGACUGCAUCUUACAAAACAGUACAGUUGUAGUUCUGUGAUCUUACCCUCUCACUGCCUUGGGUUGCUUCUGUAUAAAAUGGGUUUAAUAAUAGUAGCAACCUCAUAGGGUCAGUGUAAGGAUUAAAUGAGAUGAUCCCUGUUAGUGCUCAAGACACUGCCUCACAUGGUGUUAGUGCCGGAUAAAUGACCAUUUUUUUUUUCUAUGAUUCUGUAUUCCAGAUGUUCUUUCAGUAACUAGGUUUUUACUAGAGGCUGUAAAUAAUGGUCUUGAUUUUAGAUUUGGGACAUUUCCCCUUUGGGGUAGCAUGUCAGAAUGUGGACCUAUGAGCAUAGUUUUUUGUACUUGUUUUACUUAACUAGCUAUUCCCUGGACAAAUUUUUUAGUAAUAUAUUUUUAAAUUUAUCUGCACUAUUGGGAUGAUACCUCAUUAGAUGGUUGUGGGGUAAAUUAAGUCUUGAGCAAAGCUCAACACUUAGAAAUGAUGUGUUUGAUUAAAGUCAGUGUUCCAGGUUAUAGCAUAAUAUUCUUUCCGUCAAUAAGUUUGGACUGGGGAGAGCCAGGGUAUAGAACCAACUAGUUGGUUCUACUGGAUGCUCGUUUAUGCUGGAUGCAUGAAGACAUAGUUAACACCCAAAGACGCGGGUCUGACCAUCAGCAGGCUACCUGUAUGCAGCACCUAGCUAUAGGGGAUUCAAAACUAUUUAUCCUCAAAGAACUUUCAUUAUAAUUGGGGAGAGAAGUCUAAUACAAAUGAAAUAUUCAGCACUAUAGACCAUGCAGGAGCCACGUGUUUGCCCUAGAGGCAUACAUAUUCCCUGUCUGGUAGCCUCACGACGACUUCACGGCAUUUCUUUAUGGGGAAUUCUUGUCCAUAUCCACAGUGCAGGGGCCAGUUUGGAUGAGAAAGGCGAGAGGUAAUCGGGAAGCCUCUUUCCCUCUUCCUCUUCUUUCUGAACACUGGUGAGAUGAGUAGAGGAAUACCCAACAGCAGGAGUGGAAUCCCAUGACUUGAGCAGCUGUGCCCAGGGGACAGUAUUCUUUGGGAAUUUCAGUGUUCCACAUUUCAGCCUUCAGCAUUUAGAAAGGCUUUUGUUCCUGAGUUCACAGGUUUACAUUUUCCGUAGCCUUCUGAGUCUGGAAAGUGUCCUGUAUCUGUAUGAUUGAUUUAUAUAUAUGUAUGUAUAUGUAUUUUUUAAAACUGUUUUCUAUAUAUGCCUUUUACAAAAUGAGCCAGGGAGAAACUGGGAGAUAAAUUUUGAGGCUGCUGUAAUAAUACAAUACUCUAAUACUCUGGAUUGAAAGAUUUGAAUGAACUGGCACUGUGCUAAUUUCAUUUAGUUCAUUUAAUCCUCACAAGAUGCGGUGAAAUAGAAUCUCUUGUAAUCCCCAUUAUACCAGUGAUGAAACUGACACCUAGAGGAGUGGUUACUUGCCAGAAACCACACAGCUACUCAGCAGUGGAGCUUGGACUUGAAGCCAAUGUCUACAAUCACUAUACUAUGCUGCUUCCCAUAGAAAGAAGGAAAGAGACAAGCUGGAGUAGUCAUUUGAAAGGAAGACUAUAUGCUAGCUAUUCUGAGGUUUUAAGAGGAGUGGAUGACUUGAUGAUUGGAACUAUUGAAUAUAUUAAGAAUAGAGGCCUUGAAGGGGAGCCAGUUUAGUUUGUUUUUUGAUUUACUGAGUUUGAGAAGAUGGCAUCCAUUGAGAUGUCCAGUGGAUUGACCACAGAUCUGCUUAAUUUGUUACUUAAACUGAUAUUUUCACGUGUAUUUAAAAAAAGAAAUGUAGGCAGGCCCUAUCACUUUAAUGUCAGAUAAAAUAUCUUUUGUCUUUUCCUUUACCUUAACCAGUAUUACAAAGGAAUUAGGUUUUUAACAACUCUUUUUUUCUCUUUGAUGUAGGAAUGGGUGCGUGUGUGUGUGCACAUAUUUACAAGAAAAAUGAAAACAAGUUGGUCUUUACUGCAUAAUCUAAUUUAAAAAUGUACAGCCUCAAAGGCAUGGGGGGAAGUAAAGGAAUGGGUCUAAAGGUCCUAGUUUAUCUGUCGCUCAAUUUGGAACCAUUGUGGGCAUAGUGGCUGAACUAUUUCAAUUGAAAACCAAAUUGAUAUAUUUUGAACAGGAUGCAUUCAGUUUAUUAGCUUAUUCAGAUCCUUGGAACAGCCCAGUUGGAAAUCAGCUUGACCCAAUUCAGAGAGAACCUGUGUGCUCAGCUCUCAACAGUGCAAUAUUAGAAACUCACAAUCUGCCAAAGCAGCCUCCACUUGCCCUA
Choloepus didactylus (southern two-toed sloth) is the source of this 6107-nucleotide RNA transcript. It is a transcript of the gene named RAN binding protein 9, with no coding region annotated. The transcript is spliced from 14 exons. The record is from RefSeq and is a predicted model, not a curated record. NCBI's taxonomy places the organism in Eukaryota, Metazoa, Chordata, Mammalia, Pilosa, Megalonychidae.